This is a non-coding RNA of Thalassomonas actiniarum, 165 nucleotides long. The record is from Rfam. NCBI's taxonomy places the organism in Bacteria, Pseudomonadati, Pseudomonadota, Gammaproteobacteria, Alteromonadales, Colwelliaceae.
UUAUCCGCGAGGAUCGGUCUGGAGGAAGCCGCUAGCAAAACUGCGAGUUGAUGAACAAGAACAUCAUAUGAGGCGUAGGCUGAAGGCGAGUUGGCACAAGACGACGAAGCCAUGUGAUCUAACGGCCACCGUAAAUGAUGCAACAGUGCAGUGAAAGUUUAUGUU